GGGUUGUGAGGUUAAGCGACUAAGCGUACACGGUGGAUGCCCUGGCAGUCAGAGGCGAUGAAGGACGUGCUAAUCUGCGAAAAGCGUCGGUAAGGUGAUAUGAACCGUUAUAGCCGGCGAUGUCCGAAUGGGGAAACCCAGUGCAAUUCGUUGCACUAUCGUUAACUGAAUACAUAGGUUAACGAGGCGAACCGGGGGAACUGAAACAUCUAAGUACCCCGAGGAAAAGAAAUCAACCGAGAUUCCCCCAGUAGCGGCGAGCGAACGGGGAGCAGCCCGGAGUCUGAAUCAGCUUGUGUGUUAGUGGAAGCGUCUGGAAAGUCGCAGGGUACAGGGUGAUACUCCCGUACACUAAAACGCACAGGUUGUGAACUCGAAGAGUAGGGCGGGACACGUGGUAUCCUGUCUGAAUAUGGGGGGACCAUCCUCCAAGGCUAAAUACUCCUGACUGACCGAUAGUGAACCAGUACCGUGAGGGAAAGGCGAAAAGAACCCCGGCGAGGGGAGUGAAAAAGAACCUGAAACCGUGUACGUACAAGCAGUAGGAGCCCACUAGUUGGGUGACUGCGUACCUUUUGUAUAAUGGGUCAGCGACUUAUAUUCUGUAGCAAGGUUAACCGUAUAGGGGAGCCGCAGGGAAACCGAGUCUUAACUGGGCGUUAAGUUGCAGGGUAUAGACCCGAAACCCGGUGAUCUAGCCAUGGGCAGGUUGAAGGUUGGGUAACACUAACUGGAGGACCGAACCGACUAAUGUUGAAAAAUUAGCGGAUGACUUGUGGCUGGGGGUGAAAGGCCAAUCAAACCGGGAGAUAGCUGGUUCUCCCCGAAAGCUAUUUAGGUAGCGCCUCGUGAACUCAUCUUCGGGGGUAGAGCACUGUUUCGGCUAGGGGGUCAUCCCGACUUACCAACCCGAUGCAAACUACGAAUACCGAAGAAUGUUAUCACGGGAGACACACGGCGGGUGCUAACGUCCGUCGUGAAGAGGGAAACAACCCAGACCGCCAGCUAAGGUCCCAAAGUCAUGGUUAAGUGGGAAACGAUGUGGGAAGGCCCAGACAGCCAGGAUGUUGGCUUAGAAGCAGCCAUCAUUUAAAGAAAGCGUAAUAGCUCACUGGUCGAGUCGGCCUGCGCGGAAGAUGUAACGGGGCUAAACCAUGCACCGAAGCUGCGGCAGCGACACUAUGUGUUGUUGGGUAGGGGAGCGUUCUGUAAGCCGUUGAAGGUGGCCUGUGAGGGUUGCUGGAGGUAUCAGAAGUGCGAAUGCUGACAUAAGUAACGAUAAUGCGGGUGAAAAACCCGCACGCCGGAAGACCAAGGGUUCCUGUCCAACGUUAAUCGGGGCAGGGUGAGUCGACCCCUAAGGCGAGGCCGAAAGGCGUAGUCGAUGGGAAACAGGUUAAUAUUCCUGUACUUGGUGUUACUGCGAAGGGGGGACGGAGAAGGCUAUGUUGGCCGGGCGACGGUUGUCCCGGUUUAAGCGUGUAGGUGUGUGUUCCAGGUAAAUCCGGUUCACUUUAACACUGAGGCGUGAUGACGAGGCACUACGGUGCUGAAGUGACAAAUGCCCUGCUUCCAGGAAAAGCCUCUAAGCAUCAGGUAACAUCAAAUCGUACCCCAAACCGACACAGGUGGUCAGGUAGAGAAUACCAAGGCGCUUGAGAGAACUCGGGUGAAGGAACUAGGCAAAAUGGUGCCGUAACUUCGGGAGAAGGCACGCUGAUGGUAGGUGAAGUGACUUGCUCAUGGAGCUGAAAUCAGUCGAAGAUACCAGCUGGCUGCAACUGUUUAUUAAAAACACAGCACUGUGCAAACACGAAAGUGGACGUAUACGGUGUGACGCCUGCCCGGUGCCGGAAGGUUAAUUGAUGGGGUUAUCCGUAAGGAGAAGCUCUUGAUCGAAGCCCCGGUAAACGGCGGCCGUAACUAUAACGGUCCUAAGGUAGCGAAAUUCCUUGUCGGGUAAGUUCCGACCUGCACGAAUGGCGUAAUGAUGGCCAGGCUGUCUCCACCCGAGACUCAGUGAAAUUGAACUCGCUGUGAAGAUGCAGUGUACCCGCGGCAAGACGGAAAGACCCCGUGAACCUUUACUAUAGCUUGACACUGAACACUGGUCCUUGAUGUGUAGGAUAGGUGGGAGGCUUUGAAGUGUGGACGCCAGUCUGCAUGGAGCCAUCCUUGAAAUACCACCCUUUAAUGGCUGGUGUUCUAACGUGGGCCCCUAAUCGGGGUUGCGGACAGUGUCUGGUGGGUAGUUUGACUGGGGCGGUCUCCUCCUAAAGAGUAACGGAGGAGCACGAAGGUCAGCUAAUCCUGGUCGGACAUCAGGAGGUUAGUGCAAUGGCAUAAGCUGGCUUGACUGCGAGCGUGACGGCGCGAGCAGGUGCGAAAGCAGGUCAUAGUGAUCCGGUGGUUCUGAAUGGAAGGGCCAUCGCUCAACGGAUAAAAGGUACUCCGGGGAUAACAGGCUGAUACCGCCCAAGAGUUCAUAUCGACGGCGGUGUUUGGCACCUCGAUGUCGGCUCAUCACAUCCUGGGGCUGAAGUAGGUCCCAAGGGUAUGGCUGUUCGCCAUUUAAAGUGGUACGCGAGCUGGGUUUAGAACGUCGUGAGACAGUUCGGUCCCUAUCUGCCGUGGGCGCUGGAGAAUUGAGGGGGGCUGCUCCUAGUACGAGAGGACCGGAGUGGACGCAUCACUGGUGUUCGGGUUGUCAUGCCAAUGGCAUUGCCCGGUAGCUAAAUGCGGAAGAGAUAAGUGCUGAAAGCAUCUAAGCACGAAACUUGCCCCGAGAUGAGUUCUCCCUGACCCUUUAAGGGUCCUGAAGGAACGUUGAAGACGACGACGUUGAUAGGCCGGGUGUGUAAGCGCAGCGAUGCGUUGAGCUAACCGGUACUAAUGAACCGUGAGGCUUAACCUUACAACGCCGAAG
Molecule: ribosomal RNA, 2926 nt
Filed under: Klebsiella oxytoca
Lineage: Bacteria; Pseudomonadati; Pseudomonadota; Gammaproteobacteria; Enterobacterales; Enterobacteriaceae
Also listed under: 1 other name
Description: bacterial LSU rRNA
Rfam family: Bacterial large subunit ribosomal RNA
Source: RNAcentral